GAUGAACGCUAGCUACAGGCUUAACACAUGCAAGUAGAGGGGCAGCAUGAAUAAAGUUUCGGCUUUAUUUGAUGGCGACCUGCGAAUGGGUGAGUAACACGUAUCCAACCUGCCUGUUACUGGAGGAUAGCCUCCCGAAAGGGAAAUUAACACUCCAUAUUAUAUAGAUGAGGCAUCUUGUUUAUAUGAAAGUUUCACGGUAACGGAUGGGGAUGCGUCCCAUUAGAUAGUAGGCGGGGUAACGGCCCACCUAGUCGACGAUGGGUAGGGGUUCUGAGAGGAAGGUCCCCCACAUUGGGAACUGAGACACGGUCCAAACUCCUACGGGAGGCAGCAGUGAGGAAUAUUGGUCAAUGGGCGAGAGCCUGAACCAGCCAAGUAGCGUGCAGGAUGACGGCCCCUAUGGGUUGUAAACUGCUUUUAUGUGGGAAUAAAGUCAGGGACGUGUCCUUGUCUGCAUGUACCACAGGAUAAGGACCGGCUAAUUCCGUG
RNAcentral lists this ribosomal RNA (492 nucleotides) under uncultured bacterium. RNAcentral's name for it is "bacterial SSU rRNA". It matches the Rfam family "Bacterial small subunit ribosomal RNA", at positions 28 to 507 of the family's 1533-position model. The record is from RNAcentral.